Molecule: long non-coding RNA, 590 nt
Filed under: Lathyrus oleraceus (garden pea)
Lineage: Eukaryota; Viridiplantae; Streptophyta; Magnoliopsida; Fabales; Fabaceae
Description: Pisum sativum (pea) long non-coding RNA (PSAT_LNC030858)
Source: RNAcentral
AAACAAUUAAUUAACCAACUAAGUGAAUCACUAAGUUAAAUAAUUAACCAAAACAAAAGCACAUAUAAUAAAUAAAUAAAAUCAAGCAAAUAGAAACAAGGGGAUGCAAAAAAAAAGACUCUAAAUGAGCCAAGACCAAAAACUAAUCUUAAACAAAAGGAUAAAAAGAUAGUUAAAAAAAGAUAAGGAAAAUAAAUUAAAAUUGAAUUAAAGAAAUUAGAAUAUGGUUGUAAUAGGGACGGUGGCCACAUUUGGAACUAAUCUUAAACAAAAGGAUAAAAAGAUAGUUAAAAAAAGAUAAGGAAAAUAAAUUAAAAUUGAAUUAAAGAAAUUAGAAUAUGGUUGUAAUAGGGACGGUGGCCACAUUUGGAGAAAGAGAGCAAAAAUUCAAAUUUCACAACAACCAAUAAUACGAAGACACGUGGCAUACCAUAAAAAAAUAAUAAAAAAAUAAUUUAUCUUCUUCUUGGCCUCACGUUAACAACAAAGAGAGAAAAGUUUUCUCUUCCAAACUCAUGCAUUCUUUCAGCUCGAAAAACAACAACAACUAUACCAUUCAAACCAAAAUCAUGUUUCCUCUUAUCAUAAAC